GACGAACGCUGGCGGCGUGCUUAACACAUGCAAGUCGAACGGAAAGGCCUCUUUCGGGGGGUACUCGAGUGGCGAACGGGUGAGUAACACGUGAGUAACCUGCCCUUGACUUUGGGAUUACUUCAGGAAACUGGGGCUAAUACCGGAUAGGAGCUCCUGCUGCAUGGUGGGGGUUGGAAAGUUUCGGCGGUUGGGGAUGGACUCGCGGCUUAUCAGCUUGUUGGUGGGGUAGUGGCUUACCAAGGCUUUGACGGGUAGCCGGCCUGGGGGGGUGACCCGCCACAUUGGGACUGAGGUACGGCCCAGACUCCUACGGGAGGCAGCAGUGGGGAAUAUUGCACAAUGGGUGGAAGCCUGAUGCAGCAACGCCGUGUGCGGGAUGACGGCCUUCGGGUUGGAAACCGCUUUCGCUCAUGACGAAGCUUUGUGUGACGGUAGUGGGUAAAGAAGCACCGGCUAACUACGUG
This 467-nucleotide ribosomal RNA is filed under the name uncultured bacterium. Its description in RNAcentral is "partial 16S ribosomal RNA". It matches the Rfam family "Bacterial small subunit ribosomal RNA", at positions 28 to 507 of the family's 1533-position model. The record is from RNAcentral.